RNAcentral lists this ribosomal RNA (460 nucleotides) under uncultured bacterium. RNAcentral's name for it is "partial 16S ribosomal RNA". It matches the Rfam family "Bacterial small subunit ribosomal RNA", at positions 338 to 795 of the family's 1533-position model. The record is from RNAcentral.
CCUACGGGGCGCAGCAGUGAGGAAUAUUGGUCAAUGGACGAGAGUCUGAACCAGCCAAGUAGCGUGAAGGAUGACUGCCCUAUGGGUUGUAAACUUCUUUUAUAAAGGAAUAAAACGAGGCACGUGUGCCUUUUUGCAUGUACUUUAUGAAUAAGGAUCGGCUAACUCCGUGCCAGCAGCCGCGGUAAUACGGAGGAUCCGAGCGUUAUCCGGAUUUAUUGGGUUUAAAGGGAGCGUAGAUGGGUUGUUAAGUCAGUUGUGAAAGGUUGCGGCUCAACCGUAAAAUUGCAAUUGAUACUGGCAGUCUUGAGUACAGUUGAGGUAGGCGGAAUUCGUGGUGUAGCGGUGAAAUGCUUAGAUAUCACGAAGAACCCCGAUUGCGAAGGCAGCUUACUAAACUGUGACUGACAUUGAUGCUCGAAAGUGUGGGUAUCAAACAGGAUUAGAUACCCCAGUAGUC